GAGUUUGAUCAUGGCUCAGAUUGAACGCUGGCGGCAGGCUUAACACAUGCAAGUCGAACGAACUAUUGGGGCUUGCUCUAAUAGUUAGUGGCGAACGGGUGAGUAAUGCCUAGGAAUCUGCCUUAUAGUGGGGGAUAACGUUUCGAAAGGAACGCUAAUACCGCAUACGUCCUACGGGAGAAAGGGGGCAUUUAUGCUCUCGCUAUUAGAUGAGCCUAGGUCAGAUUAGCUAGUUGGUAGGGUAAAGGCCUACCAAGGCUACGAUCUGUAGCGGGUCUGAGAGGAUGAUCCGCCACACUGGAACUGAGACACGGUCCAGACUCCUACGGG
This 330-nucleotide ribosomal RNA is filed under the name uncultured bacterium. RNAcentral describes it as "bacterial SSU rRNA". It matches the Rfam family "Bacterial small subunit ribosomal RNA", at positions 9 to 345 of the family's 1533-position model. The record is from RNAcentral.